RNAcentral lists this ribosomal RNA (253 nucleotides) under uncultured bacterium. Its description in RNAcentral is "partial 16S ribosomal RNA". It matches the Rfam family "Bacterial small subunit ribosomal RNA", at positions 524 to 776 of the family's 1533-position model. The record is from RNAcentral.
UACGUAGGGGGCAAGCGUUAUCCGGAUUUACUGGGUGUAAAGGGAGCGUAGACGGCAGGGCAAGUCUGGAGUGAAAGGCAGGGGCCCAACCCCUGGACUGCUCUGGAAACUGUCCGGCUGGAGUGCAGGAGAGGUAAGAGGAAUUCCUAGUGUAGCGGUGAAAUGCGUAGAUAUUAGGAGGAACACCAGUGGCGAAGGCGGCUUACUGGACUGUAACUGACGUUGAGGCUCGAAAGCGUGGGGAGCAAACAGG